Molecule: microRNA, 24 nt
Filed under: Amborella trichopoda
Lineage: Eukaryota; Viridiplantae; Streptophyta; Magnoliopsida; Amborellales; Amborellaceae
Description: atr-miR8562b
Source: miRBase by way of RNAcentral
UCGGAAUGAUCUGAAAUUUGGAGC